Molecule: ribosomal RNA, 463 nt
Filed under: uncultured bacterium
Lineage: Bacteria
Description: partial 16S ribosomal RNA
Rfam family: Bacterial small subunit ribosomal RNA
Source: RNAcentral
GAUGAACGCUGGCGGCGUGCUUAACACAUGCAAGUCGAACGGAAAGGCCCAAGCUUGCUUGGGUACUCGAGUGGCGAACGGGUGAGUAACACGUGGGUGAUCUGCCCUGCACUUCGGGAUAAGCCUGGGAAACUGGGUCUAAUACCGGAUAGGACCACUUCUUAGAUGUUGUGGUGGAAAGUUUUUUCGGUGUGGGAUGAGCUCGCGGCCUAUCAGCUUGUUGGUGGGGUAAUGGCCUACCAAGGCGUCGACGGGUAGCCGGCCUGAGAGGGUGUACGGCCACAUUGGGACGGAGAGACGGACCAGACUACUGCGGGAAGCAGCAGUGGGGAAUAUUGCACAAUGGGCGGAAGCCUGAUGCAGCGACGCCGGGGGGGGGAUGACGGCCUUCGGGUUGUAAACUCCUUUCGGCAAAGACGAAUUUGGGACGGUAUUUGGAGAAGAAGCACCGGCUAACUACGUG